UGGGGAAUAUUGCACAAUGGGCGCAAGCCUGAUGCAGCCAUGCCGCGUGUGUGAAGAAGGCCUUCGGGUUGUAAAGCACUUUCAGCGAGGAGGAAGGGGUUGAGUUUAAUACGCUCAAUCAUUGACGUUACUCGCAGAAGAAGCACCGGCUAACUCCGUGCCAGCAGCCGCGGUAAUACGGAGGGUGCAAGCGUUAAUCGGAAUUACUGGGCGUAAAGCGCACGCAGGCGGUUUGUUAAGUCAGAUGUGAAAUCCCCGCGCUUAACGUGGGAACUGCAUUUGAAACUGGCAAGCUAGAGUCGUGUAGAGGGGGGUAGAAUUCCAGGUGGAGCGGUGAAAUGCGUAGAGAUCUGGAGGAAUACCGGUGGCGAAGGCGGCCCCCUGGACAAAGACUGACGCUCAGGUGCGAAAGCGUGGGGAGCAAACA
Molecule: ribosomal RNA, 427 nt
Filed under: uncultured bacterium
Lineage: Bacteria
Description: partial 16S ribosomal RNA
Rfam family: Bacterial small subunit ribosomal RNA
Source: RNAcentral